Molecule: transfer RNA, 72 nt
Organism: Alligator mississippiensis (American alligator)
Lineage: Eukaryota; Metazoa; Chordata; Crocodylia; Alligatoridae
Rfam family: tRNA
About the family: Transfer RNA (tRNA) molecules are approximately 80 nucleotides in length. Their secondary structure includes four short double-helical elements and three loops (D, anti-codon, and T loops).
Source: Rfam
GGGAGUAUAGCUCAGUGGUAGAGCAUUUGACUACAGAUCAAGUGGUCCCCAGUUCAAAUCUGGGUGCUCCCU